Molecule: long non-coding RNA, 3104 nt
Filed under: Sus scrofa (pig)
Lineage: Eukaryota; Metazoa; Chordata; Mammalia; Artiodactyla; Suidae
Description: lncRNA (ENSSSCG00000055005.1)
Source: RNAcentral
AACCAAAAAGAAUUGUCCUCCAACACCGUGUUAGUGAUUAAACAGAGGAUAAUGGAAGGGGUGCAAACAGUUUAUCGGAGGGUAGGGGAAAGAAAACAUCUGGGGAAUACUUAGAUGAUUAACAAAUGAGUAUUUAUUAAAGAUCAGGUAUUGAGUUCAACCCAUUAUGUACACUUUAAAAUUUAAUGUUUAUAGCAUCUUUUAAUGAGAUUUAUUUCUACUGACAUUUUACCUUUACUGAAACUAAGCCCAACUAACAGUCUCAAGUUAUUUAGAGUGGCAAAUGGCUGUCCAAAGAUUUGAACCUAUACCUGCCUGCCUCCUUUUUAAACCUUUGGACAUUUUGUAAACUGCUUGAGAUUUUCUUCACAAUUAACAUUGAGUGAAUAGUGGGUACCGGGUUUUUCUCUGCUUCCUCUCCUCUCCUCUUGGUUAGUUUGUAGGUCCUCGUGCUCUGUUUUCCUUCUAGACCCUUCUGAAUCAAAUCUUUAUUAUUUGUCAGCAAAAAAAGCUUCCUUUUUCCUUUCACUAGCACAGCCCAACUCCAUUAAAAAGGAACAUUGUUAUUCUGUGCAGUGUGCAUCAAAUAACAAAUCAUUGGUUGAUGCAAAAAAUUAGUCAUUAAGAAUCAGCCAUCUGCUUCUCUAAUCUCCUUAAAGUGCCAUAUCAAAUUGGCAGAUACCAUUGAAUUUUUAAGGAAAAAAUCCUUAGUGUGAAAAAGUGACAUUAAAGGUUUAUGUCCUCUUCUUGUGGCCCAAUAAACAAUAUUAAUGGCAAGGCAUGCAAAGGAUUAAUAGGUCCUCCCUGCAAGAGGCUCGGUUAUAGCAAUCCUGAGGAAUUCUGCAGGCUAAAAUAUGAGCCUUGCGGUACCUCUGCAGGCAUAAAUUAUUUGGUUUUUCUUCGCCUUGAAGGAGAGCCUGUCACUCUAAAGGCAAUUUUUCUCUUUGAUCCUUUGUGCUAUAAUUUCAUCCACUCCUUGCAAUGCACCCUCCCACGUAGAGUGUUCUUCUCCCAACCUUUAGUCUUAAAAACCAUUUCUCCUCACCAGCCAGUCCUACAAAGAGUGAAAGUACCUCUAAGAGAGGUAGCAUUGGUUUCCCUCUGGUGCAUUCAAGAUAUGGUCCGUAGCAUUUUUUGAGAAUAGGGAACAAAAUUGAGGCAAUAUUUGAAUAGAGAAGUUUCUUAAGUAAGUGCCAUCAAACCUUAAUCAUCUCUGGGAGAAAUAUUAGGUCUCUUGGAUCCAGCUUUAUAAAUAAGGAGAUAGAGGUCCAACCUCAUAAGAAAACACAACUAGUGAUGGCAGUGGCAAAUUUCAGAUGCUUUGAUCAGUUCUUUCCAGAAUGUUUUAGAUUAUAUAUUUUAUGUCUUAUUUAUUCUAGAAGAAAGUGGGCUUUCUCCAGAGACUUUUAUCUAGACCUCUAGCUAGACAAGGGUAGGUUUGGUUGUAGUCAACAAAACUUAUAAGAUAAAUGGGCAGGGUAAAGGCAGUUGAUUCUUUUUGGAGAGGGCCCACUAAGGCUCUGCUCUAGAACUUCCUGAUAGACUUAGAAAUUCAAUUAAUUAAAGCCUGAGAGGUUAAUAUUUACCUAGUGGAAUUAGGUCUCUGUGUUGUUAUUAUUACUAUAAAUGUAAUUAUUGCCUUGGUGAAUGGUCUUAUUGGAAAAUUAUUUGAUAUCUUUCAUUCUCAGCUUUCUUGUUUCCAAAAUGGGCACAAUAAUAGCAACCAUGGAAAACUUGUGUAAAAAUUAAACUUAGGAGUCAUUUACAUAGAAAGUGUGUGACAUGAGUUUAAUGAGAUCACCCCUUCCAUAACAAAGUAAAGCCCUUUAGGGUGUCUUCCUAGAAUUAAAUAGACUUACCUACUGGGACAGUAGUGAAAUAUUGAAAUGCAUUUUCAUCCUUCAAAAGAUUCAACUAACUAAAUAAAAUCCAAUACAUACACUUUACCUUUGAGGAAGGAGCUCAGGAACUGUCUGUAGAAGACAUGGAGACUUAGACUACAGUAGAGGACUUCCACUUGGGUCAUGAACUUGUAAUUGGGAUUAUAUUCACAAACCUUAGGGCAGAGCAUCGUGAGUAAAUAUAGAAACAAAGAGAGAUUGUGCAAAAUAUCACUUGGCUGGCUUUGGGCUCUUGGGCCAAUGGUGGGCUCUUAACCAAGUACAGUGCUGCCCCUGGGGGAAAUUGAAAAAGUGUGGGAACACUUGUGGUUGUCCUUUAGCAUUUAAUGCCUACAGCCAAGAAUUCCAAAGGUCCUGUAUUACAUGAGAUGAUCCCACCCAUCGACCCCAGCCUCAAAUGUCCAAAGUGCAUCCCCACUGAAUGAAGGUGAAUUGAAGGAGAAAUGAGGCUGAUGGGACAACCAGGUAGGACUGAGAUCAGAGAACCUUUUCUAAGAUUUGCUGAGAAGUGAAAGCCUAUAGUAAAGAGAGCAUGAGCUAUAAUAUAUGUGGAAACACUGAAUAAUUGUUAGUACUGGUGUGGACCUCUGCCAUGAACAUAUUUCCAACUUUCUGUAUCCAAAUAGAGAUAAAAGUUUAUUCAAUUUAGCAAAGGUCAUUCUGGUAUAAUAUGACUAGAAAAUACAAAAUUUUAGCUUAUUACACAUAGACUAUUUGAGACAUUACAAACUUACAAAUAGCAGUAUUGACUUUUCAUCCACAUUUUUAUUUGUUCCAAAGCAGCUUAGCACAGUGGUUAGUUCUAGGCUCUGGAAUGAGACAACCUUGGUUUGUACCCAUCCACACUGUUUGUGUUUAUGAUCCUGACAAUUUAUUUACUCUUACUGUGCCUUAGUUGUUUUAUUUUAAAAAGUAGUAGUAUUUAAAUCUUCAUAGGGUUAAUAAGAGAAUUAAAUGCAUUAAUACACCUGAAGUGCUUAUAAUAGUUGCUGACAUGAAUUUGAGCAUUCAAUACAUGUUAACCAUUGUCAUUAUUAGUGAGCAUUCUAACGAAGCACACUAUUAAGAGAAUUUGAGACACACCUGCCAGAUUAUACUGCAAAGGUCAGAAUAUGGAUGCAGUAACCCUAAGAGAAAGCUAAAGAAGACCCAGCAUAAAGUCAGGAAUUCAGAAUCAUCCAAUUUCAAAGUGACUAUUUGAAA